RNAcentral lists this ribosomal RNA (270 nucleotides) under uncultured archaeon. RNAcentral's name for it is "partial 16S ribosomal RNA". It matches the Rfam family "Archaeal small subunit ribosomal RNA", at positions 477 to 747 of the family's 1478-position model. The record is from RNAcentral.
CUGCAGCCCGAGUGGUGAUCGAUUUUAUUGAGCCUAAAGCGUCCGUAGCCGGACUAGUAAACCCUUGGGUAAAUUGGGCAGCUUAACUGUCCAAAUUCCGAGGGGACUGCUAGUCUUGGGACCGGGAGAGGUCAGAGGUACUCAAGGGGUAGGGGCUAAAUCCUGUAAUCCUUUGGGGACCACCAGUGGCGAAGGCGUCUGACUAGAACGGAUCCGACGGUAAGGGACGAAAGCCAGGGGAGCGAACCGGAUUAGAUACCCGAGUAGUCC